Long non-coding RNA from Mytilus californianus (California mussel), 2213 nucleotides. RefSeq lists it as uncharacterized. The transcript has 4 exons. The record is from RefSeq and is a predicted model, not a curated record. Lineage: Eukaryota; Metazoa; Mollusca; Bivalvia; Mytilida; Mytilidae.
UCUAUAAAGUUUGUUUAAAUGCAUUCUUUGGAACCAAUGUUUACUUCGGAGAAUUCACUUUAACUAGGAAGUAUAUAAGAUUGACGGUCAGUUAUUGAACUGAAUGUAGUAUGGCGGACUACUGUCAGUUUGGAGAAUGUUGGAGGAAAGCUUUGUUUGUUCAAGCUCUGGUGCUGUUUUGUUUUUCUGUAUCCAGUAUAGCUGUGGCUUAAGUAUAUGCUUCGGAUUGUCCCCACGAAGGCUAUAGACUACCGUUCUUUCUGUUAGCUGCCGGACUGGUUGGCUUGUUUGAUGCUGUCAUGAUUUUCUUCUCAAACACACUCUGGAGUAGUUACAAAAGUUUUCGGUGUGAAGGGAGCAAGGAAACAGUCAAGUGUGUCAAUGGAAUCACUGGAGCUUUGUCCUUUGUGUUUUUCGUUUUUGUCUUUGUUGGGUUGGUAUAUGGUGCUUCGGCAGAUAAGAAUUCUACAGAGUGUCUCGAUGUUGUUUGGAAAUUUGCAUUGGCCAUGUGCAGUUUAGGAUUGAUUUCCUUUGUCUUGCUUGGUGGUGUGUGCAUGUUUAUUGGCGGAGAUUGAUAAAAUACGAGAGUCAUUUGUAUUGCGAACUAUCAUGGGAUAUUGUACUUCCAUUUAAAAUAUAGGAUAGCCAUACUAUGUAUCUGGACUGUACACUUUUCACAGUUUCCAUAAUACCAUUAUUCCACAGUCGUAAAUUACGUAUAGCGGUGAAGUACAUGCAUUCAAAUAUAUAAGUCUCUAAGUAUCAAAGUGGCAAGAAACACAAGUUAUGAAGUGAUCAAAUUUCGUCAAAAUGUCCGACGAACCCUCAACAUGAAAGUAAAUCAUUUAUUUACAGUCUUCUCUCAAACAGGACAUAAUUUAUAAUCAUAUUUAUGUGAUCCAUAUUUAAAUAAAAUCCUUUUAAAAGUAGUUAGAGAACUGACGUUUUUCAUUUUAAGAGAGAAGAAUAAAUGUUAAUUCUUUCAAUAUGGGUGUAAUGUUUUCUUCUAAAUCGACAAUUAAACAUUUUAUUUGCUCUGAGAUACAAAAUCAGCAGACAUUGAAAUGACAAUUUGUACAAUAUUCUUCAAAUUCGUAUCGUUAAAGGAUAUCAUUAAGAUAAGGUUAGUAUAUUGUCUCUCCCUACACUACCUCAACAAAGGAAUUCUUUAGACUAUAAUGGAUCGAAAAAUUUAUUUCAAAUACGGGUAAUGUUGUGAACUCAAAGCGAAAAACAAAUUCAUUACUUGUGGAAUGUGGAAAUUGUCAUUAUAAUAUUUUUCCUGUACUGGUCUCCGCCGUCCAACGUCUGUAAACUUAUUGUACAUAAACAAUUCGCAACAAGUCUGAAUAAUUGGAAAAAGUAUAGUUUCAACAUCUUAUACUAUUAGUCUUAACUAUUAAGCAACAUUCCCUUUUUCAAGGAAAAUACAACAACACUGUAAAUUUGCUCACUUAUGGUUGGCAAAGUUACCAGGUUUCAAUGAAAUGCGUAAAUUUUUGUAUUGAACGAAUUAAUAUUGCUGACAGUUAAUUUUAUUGUUCCCUAAUGCGCAUUUAUCCGAGCUUUAUGAUAAAACUAAUUUGGAUAUUUAUUACCAAAAAUGCCAUCUUUUAAACAUCAGAAGACGAAAGACAAUUUCAAUGAAAUUAUCGAAUCGUCACACACACAAUACUAGUAUCUCGUAAUUACAAAACUGACACUUGUAUUUAAAACUGUAUCAACUUCCCUCUUUACGUUUAAAGUAAUAUUACGGAUAUAAGCAUAUUUAUACGAUAUAUGCAUUACAAUAGUUAGGGUGUCAAUGUAUAGUGUUCCGCCUAACAUAAUUUCUCCUGGAAACUGUUAUAAACAAUGCCAUAAUAUAUGUUCCUGUUGGAACAAAUAUUCCAUACUCUUUAUUCUGUUAGGAACAAUUACUGUUAUAUUUAUUCCAGGGGAAAUAACACUCCAGAAUAUUUAUUCUAGCUGGAUUUUGUAUUAUAAAGGAACUUCUGUUUCAUGACAUUUAUUCAUCGUUAUGUAGGGAUGACAAAAGGAACGAUAUACAUGAACUUUAUCUCAGUAUUAACAGUAUUAAUGCACAGUUCAUGUAAUACCUAUAUUACUGUCAUAUGUAAAUAAUUAUGUAUCAUGUUUUGUUUGUAUUCCGUUUUAUUUAUUUCAUGUAUAUUAAAUUGAUUCAAUUAAAAUCUAAACAGUCAAAAACCGAA